CUGACUCCCAUCUCAGACAGUUGGUCCUGAGGGGUUCACCAAGUAGCCAGAAGAAGAAGAAGUGGGAGUACCAUUCCCAAUUCCACAAGGCUCUCAGGCAAGGAUCUGAGCCUGGUGGAAUUCACAUUCUCCUCUAAUUUAGAAAGACCUUUGUUGUCAUUUUGAGCUCUGUCCUGAAGGAAGCAAGAAAGAAAGAAAAGGGAAGAAGGAAAGGAAGAAAGAAAGAAAGAGCACAUGAAGUGCUCAGCACAGUGCCAGACAAUGAGUCCUUGUUGAAACAUGUGUUAAUAUGUUUAAAAUCAACCACAAGAACAAGAACACUGCAAAAUAAGGUGGGAAAAACUGAAGCCAACGGCAACUAUUUCCAAGGAAAUUAG
RNAcentral lists this long non-coding RNA (377 nucleotides) under Mustela putorius furo (domestic ferret). Its description in RNAcentral is "lncRNA (ENSMPUG00000027772.1)". Lineage: Eukaryota; Metazoa; Chordata; Mammalia; Carnivora; Mustelidae. The record is from RNAcentral.